GAUCAUGGCUCGGGAUGAACGCUGGCGGCGUGCUUAACACAUGCAAGUCGAACGAAGCACUCUAUUUGAUUUUCUUUCGGAAAUGAAGAUUUUGUGACUGAGUGGCGGACGGGUGAGUAACGCGUGGGUAACCUGCCUCAUACAGGGGGAUAACAGUUGGAAACGACUGCUAAUACCGCAUAAGCGCACAGGAUCGCAUGAUCUGGUGCGAAAAACUCCGGUGGUAUGAGAUGGACCCG
This 239-nucleotide ribosomal RNA is filed under the name uncultured bacterium. Its description in RNAcentral is "partial 16S ribosomal RNA". It matches the Rfam family "Bacterial small subunit ribosomal RNA", at positions 15 to 233 of the family's 1533-position model. The record is from RNAcentral.